UACGAGGGGGGCAAGCGUUGUUCGGAAUUACUGGGCGUAAAGGGCGCGUAGGCUGUGCUGUAAGUCAGGCGUGAAAUCCCCGGGCUCAACCUGGGAAUUGCGCAUGAUACUGCGGCGCUUGAAGACGGGAGAGGAUGGCGGAAUUCCCAGUGUAGAGGUGAAGUUCGUAGAUAUUGGGAAGAACACCGGUGGCGAAGGCGGCUCACUGGCCAGUUUCUGACGCUGCAGCGCGAAAGCGUGGGGAUCAAACAGG
This 253-nucleotide ribosomal RNA is filed under the name uncultured bacterium. RNAcentral's name for it is "partial 16S ribosomal RNA". It matches the Rfam family "Bacterial small subunit ribosomal RNA", at positions 524 to 776 of the family's 1533-position model. The record is from RNAcentral.